This is a transfer RNA of 91 nucleotides. It matches the Rfam family "tRNA". Rfam says of the family: Transfer RNA (tRNA) molecules are approximately 80 nucleotides in length. Their secondary structure includes four short double-helical elements and three loops (D, anti-codon, and T loops). The record is from Rfam.
GCCUUCUUAGCUCAGGGGUAGAGCGUUCCACUCGUACGCCAUAGAGAUCGUGCGCAUGGAAAGGUCGCUAGUUCGAAUCUGGUAGGAGGCA